UGGGGAAUUUUGGACAAUGGGCGCAAGCCUGAUCCAGCAAUGCCGCGUGCAGGAUGAAGGCCUUCGGGUUGUAAACUGCUUUUGUACGGAACGAAAAAGCUCUCUCUAAUACAGGGGGUGAAUGACGGUACCGUAAGAAUAAGCACCGGCUAACUACGUGCCAGCAGCCGCGGUAAUACGUAGGGUGCAAGCGUUAAUCGGAAUUACUGGGCGUAAAGCGUGCGCAGGCGGUUAUGCAAGACAGGUGUGAAAUCCCCGGGCUCAACCUGGGAACUGCACUUGUGACUGCAUGACUAGAGUGCGUCAGAGGGAGGUGGAAUUCCGCGUGUAGCAGUGAAAUGCGUAGAGAUGCGGAGGAACACCGAUGGCGAAGGCAGCCUCCUGGGAUGACACUGACGCUCAUGCACGAAAGCGUGGGGAGCAAACA
This 427-nucleotide ribosomal RNA is filed under the name uncultured bacterium. RNAcentral's name for it is "bacterial SSU rRNA". It matches the Rfam family "Bacterial small subunit ribosomal RNA", at positions 355 to 774 of the family's 1533-position model. The record is from RNAcentral.